This 464-nucleotide ribosomal RNA is filed under the name uncultured bacterium. Its description in RNAcentral is "partial 16S ribosomal RNA". It matches the Rfam family "Bacterial small subunit ribosomal RNA", at positions 29 to 507 of the family's 1533-position model. The record is from RNAcentral.
ACGAACGCUGGCGGCGUGCUUAACCCAUGCCAGUCGUACGGUAAGGCCCUUUCGGGGGUACACGAGUGGCGAACGGGUGAGUAACACGUGAGUAACCUGCCCACAACUUUGGGAUAACGCUAGGAAACUGGUGCUAAUACUGGAUAUGUGCUCCUGCUGCAUGGUGGGGGUUGGAAAGCUCCGGCGGUUGUGGAUGGACUCGCGGCCUAUCAGCUUGUUGGUGGGGUAGUGGCCUACCAAGGCGGCGACGGGUAGCCGGCCUGAGAGGGUGACCGGCCACAUUGGGACUGAGAUACGGCCCAGACUCCUACGGGAGGCAGCAGUGGGGAAUAUUGCACAAUGGGCGCAAGCCUGAUGCAGCAACGCCGCGUGCGGGAUGACGGCCUUCGGGUUGUAAACCGCUUUCAGCAGGGACGAAGCUUUUUGUGACGGUACCUGCAGAAGAAGCACCGGCUAACUACGUG